UUGCCUUUCCAAUUUACAUUUUUGCCCUUAUUCCAUCUUCUUAAUUACCAUGCCUCAUGUCCAUUUAUCAUGUUGCCCUUGAGUCUAAUUUAUUUAUUUAUUUUUUUACCCACUAUUUCUCCAAUAUAUAUUUAAAUAUAUUUAAGGAUUUUCUAAAUUAAGUACUAAUUAGUUUCCAAAAUUCUGGAAUGUUACAUGCAACUUGUCUUUAUGCUAAAGCCGAUAGAUGCUGGUCGGGUGUUGGUUUCAGAGAAUUCAAGACAUUGAUUGCAAGUUCAACAACUCACCUUCAUCACGAUUCUUAGUCUUUAGAGCAACUUUGUGUCCUCGCAUAUUGACUUACCUUUUCACAAUUUAGAGUUUUUUUUUUAUAUAACGAAUUGGGGAAAGUAGCAAACAAGCACCUUUU
RNAcentral lists this long non-coding RNA (409 nucleotides) under Trifolium pratense (red clover). RNAcentral's name for it is "long non-coding RNA (TPRA_LNC008101)". The record is from RNAcentral. Lineage: Eukaryota; Viridiplantae; Streptophyta; Magnoliopsida; Fabales; Fabaceae.